CGUAGGGUGACCUGCGGAGGGAUCAUUACACAAAUAUGAAGGCGGGCUGGAACCUCUCGGGGUUACAGCCUUGCUGAAUUAUUCACCCUUGUCUUUUGCGUACUUCUUGUUUCCUUGGUGGGUUCGCCCACCACUAGGACAAACAUAAACCUUUUGUAAUUGCAAUCAGCGUCAGUAACAAAUUAAUAAUUACAACUUUCAACAACGGAUCUCUUGGUUCUGGCAUCGAUGAAGAACGCAGCGAAAUGCGAUAAGUAGUGUGAAUUGCAGAAUUCAGUGAAUCAUCGAAUCUUUGAACGCACAUUGCGCCCUUUGGUAUUCCAAAGGGCAUGCCUGUUCGAGCGUCAUUUGUACCCUCAAGCUUUGCUUGGUGUUGGGCGUCUUGUCUCUAGCUUUGCUGGAGACUCGCCUUAAAGUAAUUGGCAGCCGGCCUACUGGUUUCGGAGCGCAGCACAAGUCGCACUCUCUAUCAGCAAAGGUCUAGCAUCCAUUAAGCCUUUUUUUCAACUUUUGACCUCGGAUCAGGUAGGGAUACCCGCUGAACUUAAGCAUAUCAAUAAGCGGAGGAA
Molecule: ribosomal RNA, 569 nt
Filed under: Alternaria tenuissima
Lineage: Eukaryota; Fungi; Ascomycota; Dothideomycetes; Pleosporales; Pleosporaceae
Description: eukaryotic LSU rRNA
Rfam family: 5.8S ribosomal RNA (bases 194-347)
Source: RNAcentral